Alosa sapidissima (American shad) is the source of this 485-nucleotide long non-coding RNA. RefSeq lists it as uncharacterized. The transcript has 3 exons. Lineage: Eukaryota; Metazoa; Chordata; Actinopteri; Clupeiformes; Clupeidae. The record is from RefSeq and is a predicted model, not a curated record.
CUGUUCAUAAGUGUAGCAGAAACAGAACCUUAUUGAUGUCAUUAGCAACACCUAGGCCAGCCAUUCUUUUACAUAUAGUUACUGUAUCUUGCCUCUUUCCCAAAUCAUAAUUACUAGGGUCUAAAAUAAAAAUGAGACCAGUGACUGUUCUCCACUUCUGUGGCUUUGUGUAGAAUCACCAAAUGGACCAAGUGAAGAUGCUGAGGUUGCCACCACAACGCAGAAUGCCCAAAACCAGACCGCAGCGGCCCACACUGUAGGAACUGAUGGUGCAAGUGAGGAUGCUGUUGUGUUAACCACUGCACUGAAUCUGCAAAAUGGAACUACCUCUGCCCAAGAUGGAACCAUGAUCACUGACUCCCAUGAUGACUCCUGAAGUGACUGCUCAGAAUGCUAAUGCUUAAUGGAAUUCCUCCUGACAUCUUGUGGCAUUUCCUGCACUUCCUUUUUACAUCUUGAAUUCAAUAAAGGCCAGAUUUCCUUAA